AUAGGUGGGAGGCUUGGAAGUGUGGACGCCAGUCUGCAUGGAGCCGACCUUGAAAUACCACCCUUUAAUGUUUGAUGUUCUAACGUUGACCCGUAAUCCGGGUUGCGGACAGUGUCUGGUGGGUAGUUUGACUGGGGCGGUCUCCUCCUAAAGAGUAACGGAGGAGCACGAAGGUUGGCUAAUCCUGGUCGGACAUCAGGAGGUUAGUGCAAUGGCAUAAGCCAGCUUGACUGCGAGCGUGACGGCGCGAGCAGGUGCGAAAGCAGGUCAUAGUGAUCCGGUGGUUCUGAAUGGAAGGGCCAUCGCUCAACGGAUAAAAGGUACUCCGGGGAUAACAGGCUGAUACCGCCCAAGAGUUCAUAUCGACGGCGGUGUUUGGCACCUCGAUGUCGGCUCAUCACAUCCUGGGGCUGAAGUAGGUCCCAAGGGUAUGGCUGUUCGCCAUUUAAAGUGGUACGCGAGCUGGGUUUAGAACGUCGUGAGACAGUUCGGUCCCUAUCUGCCGUGGGCGCUGGAGAACUGAGGGGGGCUGCUCCUAGUACGAGAGGACCGGAGUGGACGCAUCACUGGUGUUCGGGUUGUCAUGCCAAUGGCACUGCCCGGUAGCUAAAUGCGGAAGAGAUAAGUGCUGAAAGCAUCUAAGCACGAAACUUGCC
RNAcentral lists this ribosomal RNA (656 nucleotides) under Escherichia coli. RNAcentral's name for it is "partial 23S ribosomal RNA". It matches the Rfam family "Bacterial large subunit ribosomal RNA", at positions 2143 to 2798 of the family's 2925-position model. Lineage: Bacteria; Pseudomonadati; Pseudomonadota; Gammaproteobacteria; Enterobacterales; Enterobacteriaceae. The record is from RNAcentral.